This 256-nucleotide unclassified non-coding RNA is filed under the name Hevea brasiliensis (rubber tree). Lineage: Eukaryota; Viridiplantae; Streptophyta; Magnoliopsida; Malpighiales; Euphorbiaceae. The record is from RNAcentral.
AGGCUUUACAGUAUCUUUCAAAGUCUUCUCUCCACUCAUUUGAGGCCCAGCAUCAGCAGCUGAAGUAGCUGGUUCAGUAUCAUCAGGUAUUUUAUCUUCCUCAAAUUGAGUGCUCUUUUGCUCAGCUCCUUUAUGUUUAUUGGGUGUUGAUAUUCCACAUGAAGCUAGAGAAGCUUUCAGGGAAUCUGAAUCAACACCCUUCGAAUAAGGAUCCCAUCUAGAACGCCCCCCAAGGAAAUUUGUAGCAUUGCCCUCU